Molecule: long non-coding RNA, 191 nt
Organism: Saccostrea echinata
Lineage: Eukaryota; Metazoa; Mollusca; Bivalvia; Ostreida; Ostreidae
Exons: 2
Source: RefSeq, a predicted model, not a curated record
UCAGGUUUUAGGGACCUUGCGGUGUUUAGCUAAUAGUUACAAUGUGAUCAUGUGAUCAGUAUCAAUGCUGUACCUUUAAGUUUUGGGAGAUCCAAAUCCUGGUGUAUAUACAAAUUGUAGAAAAACAUAGGAUCUCCCAAUUUUCAUGUCUUACCUUUGUGUCAUUAAUAAAUGACAUAUUUACAACUACA